AGAGUUUGAUCCUGGCUCAGAACGAACGCUGGCGGCAUGCCUAACACAUGCAAGUCGAACGAGACCUCACCUUCGGGUGAACGUCUAGUGGCGCACGGGUGCGUAACGCGUGGGAAUCUGCCCUUCGGUUCGGAACAACAGUUAGAAAUGACUGCUAAUACCGGAUGAUGACGUAAGUCCAAAGAUUUAUCGCCGAAGGAUGAGCCCGCGUAGGAUUAGCUAGUUGGUAAGGUAAAAGCUUACCAAGGCGACGAUCCUUAGCUGGUCUGAGAGGAUGAUCAGCCACACUGGGACUGAGACACGGCCCAGACUCCUACGGGAGGCAGCAGUGGGGAAUAUUGGACAAUGGGCGAAAGCCUGAUCCAGCAAUGCCGCGUGAGUGAUGAAGGCCUUAGGGUUGUAAAGCUCUUUUACCAGGGAUGAUAAUGACAGUACCUGAGAAUAAG
This 446-nucleotide ribosomal RNA is filed under the name uncultured Novosphingobium sp. Its description in RNAcentral is "bacterial SSU rRNA". It matches the Rfam family "Bacterial small subunit ribosomal RNA", at positions 8 to 490 of the family's 1533-position model. The record is from RNAcentral. Lineage: Bacteria; Pseudomonadati; Pseudomonadota; Alphaproteobacteria; Sphingomonadales; Sphingomonadaceae.